AGCUUUGCGCAGUGGCAGUAUCGUAGCCAAUGAGGUUUAUCCGAGGCGCGAUUAUUGCUAUAUGGUUAAUUUAAAAGAAGAAUUCAAAAUUUAAUUUAGAAGCUUGAAUUUUUACAGACACGAAGCAUCCUUU
RNAcentral lists this small nuclear RNA (133 nucleotides) under Canis lupus familiaris (dog). RNAcentral's name for it is "U4 spliceosomal RNA (ENSCAFG00030019957.1)". It matches the Rfam family "U4 spliceosomal RNA". From Rfam's summary of the family: U4 small nuclear RNA (U4 snRNA) is a component of the major U2-dependent spliceosome. The structure of U4 snRNA from yeast and human has been reported. The record is from RNAcentral. Lineage: Eukaryota; Metazoa; Chordata; Mammalia; Carnivora; Canidae.